CCUACGGGUGGCAGCAGUGGGGUAUAUUGCACAAUGGGGGAAACCCUGAUGCAGCGACGCCGCGUGAGUGAAGAAGUAAUUCGUUAUGUAAAGCUCUAUCAGCAGGGAAGAAAAUGACGGUACCUGAGUAAGAUGCCCCGGCUAACUAAGUGACAGCAGCCGCGGUAACAUGUAGGGGGCAAGCGUGAUCCGGAUUUACUGGGUGUAAAGGGAGCGCAGACGGCAGUGCAAGUAUGGAGUGAAAGGCGGGGGCUCAACCCGCGGACUGCUGUGGACACUGUACGGCUGGAGUGCAGGAGAGGUAAGUGGAAUUCGUAGUGUAGCGGUGAAAUGCGUAGAUAUUAGGAGGAACCCCAGUGGCGAAGGCAGCUUGCUGGACUGUAACGGACGUUGAGGCUCGAAAGCGUGGGGAGCAAACAGGAUUAGAUACCCGGGUAGUC
RNAcentral lists this ribosomal RNA (440 nucleotides) under uncultured bacterium. RNAcentral's name for it is "partial 16S ribosomal RNA". It matches the Rfam family "Bacterial small subunit ribosomal RNA", at positions 338 to 795 of the family's 1533-position model. The record is from RNAcentral.